This 544-nucleotide ribosomal RNA is filed under the name Gymnophthalmus underwoodi. RNAcentral's name for it is "partial 16S ribosomal RNA". It matches the Rfam family "Bacterial large subunit ribosomal RNA", at positions 1793 to 2608 of the family's 2925-position model. The record is from RNAcentral. Lineage: Eukaryota; Metazoa; Chordata; Lepidosauria; Squamata; Gymnophthalmidae.
AUGUCGCCUGUUUUUCAAAAACAUAGCCUUUAGCCAAAACAAGKRUUAAAGGUGACGCCUGCCCAGUGACUCAUUCAACGGCCGCGGGAUCCUCCACCGUGCAAAGGUAGCAUAAUCACUUGUCUCCUAAAUAGAGACUAGUAUGAAUGGCCAAAUGAAGACUUACCUGUCUCUUACAGCCCAUCUAUUAAACUGAUCUUUCAGUACAAAAGCUGAAAUAAUUACACAAGACGAAAAGACCCUGUGGAACUUAAAGCCACAACCAACACAAAUGGUUUAAGCGCUUUUAGUUGGGGCAACUUUGGAAAUAAACAAAACUUCCAAUUACCUGUCAAGAUAGACAUAUCAAAACAUCUUUAUUAACCCAUGACCCAGUAUCACUGAUUAAAGAACAAAGCUACCCCAGGGAUAACAGCGCCAUCCCCUCUUAGAGCCCCCAUCGAUGAGCGGGGUUUACGACCUCGAUGUUGGAUCAGGACACCCAAGUAGUGCAGCAGCUACUAAAGGUUUGUUUGUUCAACAAUUAAUGUCCUACAUGAUCUGA